This 301-nucleotide ribosomal RNA is filed under the name uncultured bacterium. RNAcentral describes it as "partial 16S ribosomal RNA". It matches the Rfam family "Bacterial small subunit ribosomal RNA", at positions 509 to 808 of the family's 1533-position model. The record is from RNAcentral.
CAGUAGCCACGGUAAUACAGAGGGUGCGAGCGUUAAUCGGAUUUACUGGGCGUAAAGCGUGCGUAGGCGGCUUUUUAAGUCGGAUGUGAAAUCCCUGAGCUUAACUUAGGAAUUGCAUUCGAUACUGGGAAGCUAGAGUAUGGGAGAGGAUGGUAGAAUUCCAGGUGUAGCGGUGAAAUGCGUAGAGAUCUGGAGGAAUACCGAUGGCGAAGGCAGCCAUCUGGCCUAAUACUGACGCUGAGGUACGAAAGCAUGGGGAGCAAACAGGAUUAGAUACCCCCGUAGUCCCUGUCUCUAUACC